GAAUUUUGGACAAUGGGCGAAAGCCUGAUCCAGCAAUGCCGCGUGCAGGAUGACGGCCUUCGGGUUGUAGACUGCUUUUUUACGGAACGAAAAGCGUUGGGCUUAUAGCCUGGAGUAGUGACGGUACCGUAAGAAUAAGCACCGGCUAACUACGUGCCAGCCGCCGCGGUCAUAAGUAGGGUGCAAGCGUUCAUCGGAAUUACUGGGUGUAAAGCGUGCGCAGGCGGUUUUGUAAGACAGGGGUGAAAUCCCCGGGCUCAACCUGGGAACUGCCUUUGAGACUGCAAGGCUAGAGUACGGCAGAGGGGUGUGGAAUUCCGCGUGUAGCAGUGAAAUGCGUAGAUAUGCGGAGGAACACCGAUGGCGAAGGCAACCCCCUGGGCCUGUACUGACGCUCAUGCACGAAAGCGUGGGGAGCAAACA
This 423-nucleotide ribosomal RNA is filed under the name uncultured bacterium. Its description in RNAcentral is "partial 16S ribosomal RNA". It matches the Rfam family "Bacterial small subunit ribosomal RNA", at positions 359 to 774 of the family's 1533-position model. The record is from RNAcentral.